This 252-nucleotide long non-coding RNA is filed under the name Elaeis guineensis (African oil palm). RNAcentral describes it as "long non-coding RNA (EGUI_LNC069216)". Lineage: Eukaryota; Viridiplantae; Streptophyta; Magnoliopsida; Arecales; Arecaceae. The record is from RNAcentral.
UUAUGGAAGUUCGGUCGAGGUCUGGUUCUUGCAGAAGGCUGAAAGGAGACCGCUUAUUGUAGAAGCUCGAUCGAGGAUCGGUUGUCGUGGGAGCUCGGAGUAGUGAUCUGGCCGAUAGGUCCUUGUCCCACUGUAAAAGCUCGUAGUAGAGAUCCGAAAUAGACCGCCCGCUGUAGGAGUUUGGAGUAGACCGCCCGCUGUAGGAGUUCGGAGUAGACUGCUCACUGUAGGAUUUCGGAGUAGAUUGCCCGC